RNAcentral lists this ribosomal RNA (253 nucleotides) under uncultured bacterium. Its description in RNAcentral is "partial 16S ribosomal RNA". It matches the Rfam family "Bacterial small subunit ribosomal RNA", at positions 524 to 776 of the family's 1533-position model. The record is from RNAcentral.
GAAGGGGGAGGAAAGCGGUCUCCGGAAUCUCUGGGCGUAAAGCGUCUGUAGGUGGUGAUGCAAGUCACUGGUGCAAAACUCUGGCUCAACCGGAGGAAAGCCAGUGAAACUGCAUGACUAGAGUGUGGGAGAGGUAGAAGGAAUUCCCUGAGUAGCGGUGAAAUGCGUAGAUACAGGGAAGAACACCGGAGGCGAAAGCGUACUACUGGACCACAAAUGACAUUGCGACACGAAAGCUAGGGGAGCGAAUGGG